GAGCUUGCUCCACCGGAAAAAGAGGAGUGGCGAACGGGUGAGUAACACGUGGGUAACCUGCCCAUCAGAAGGGGAUAACACUUGGAAACAGGUGCUAAUACCGUAUAACAAUCGAAACCGCAUGGUUUUGAUUUGAAAGGCGCUUUCGGGUGUCGCUGAUGGAUGGACCCGCGGUGCAUUAGCUAGUUGGUGAGGUAACGGCUCACCAAGGCCACGAUGCAUAGCCGACCUGAGAGGGUGAUCGGCCACAUUGGGACUGAGACACGGCCCAAACUCCUACGGGAGGCAGCAGUAGGGAAUCUUCGGCAAUGGACGAAAGUCUGACCGAGCAACGCCGCGUGAGUGAAGAAGGUUUUCGGAUCGUAAAACUCUGUUGUUAGAGAAGAACAAGGAUGAGAGUAACUGUUCAUCCCUUGACGGUAUCUAACCAGAAAGCCACGGCUAACUACGUGCCAGCAGCCGCGGUAAUACGUAGGUGGCAAGCGUUGUCCGGAUUUAUUGGGCGUAAAGCGAGCGCAGGCGGUUUCUUAAGUCUGAUGUGAAAGCCCCCGGCUCAACCGGGGAGGGUCAUUGGAAACUGGGAGACUUGAGUGCAGAAGAGGAGAGUGGAAUUCCAUGUGUAGCGGUGAAAUGCGUAGAUAUAUGGAGGAACACCAGUGGCGAAGGCGGCUCUCUGGUCUGUAACUGACGCUGAGGCUCGAAAGCGUGGGGAGCAAACAGGAUUAGAUACCCUGGUAGUCCACGCCGUAAACGAUGAGUGCUAAGUGUUGGAGGGUUUCCGCCCUUCAGUGCUGCAGCUAACGCAUUAAGCACUCCGCCUGGGGAGUACGACCGCAAGGUUGAAACUCAAAGGAAUUGACGGGGGCCCGCACAAGCGGUGGAGCAUGUGGUUUAAUUCGAAGCAACGCGAAGAACCUUACCAGGUCUUGACAUCCUUUGACCACUCUAGAGAUAGAGCUUCCCCUUCGGGGGCAAAGUGACAGGUGGUGCAUGGUUGUCGUCAGCUCGUGUCGUGAGAUGUUGGGUUAAGUCCCGCAACGAGCGCAACCCUUAUUGUUAGUUGCCAUCAUUCAGUUGGGCACUCUAGCAAGACUGCCGGUG
Molecule: ribosomal RNA, 1101 nt
Filed under: Enterococcus faecium
Lineage: Bacteria; Bacillati; Bacillota; Bacilli; Lactobacillales; Enterococcaceae
Description: bacterial SSU rRNA
Rfam family: Bacterial small subunit ribosomal RNA
Source: RNAcentral